AUAGCGUAUAUUAAAGUUGUUGCAGUUAAAAAGCUCGUAGUUGAACUUCAGACCUGGCCGGGCGGUCUGCCUAACGGUAUGUACUGUCUGGCUGGGCCUUACCUCUUGGUGAGCCGGCAUGCCCUUUACUGGGUGUGUCGGGGAACCAGGACUUUUACCUUGAGAAAAUUAGAGUGUUCAAAGCAGGCCUACGCCCGAAUACAUUAGCAUGGAAUAAUAAAAUAGGACGUGCGGUUCUAUUUUGUUGGUUUCUAGAGUCGCCGUAAUGAUUAAUAGGGAUAGUUGGGGGCAUUAGUAUUCAGUUGCUAGAGGUGAAAUUCUUGGAUUUACUGAAGACUAACUACUG
Molecule: ribosomal RNA, 346 nt
Filed under: uncultured eukaryote
Lineage: Eukaryota
Description: SSU rRNA
Rfam family: Eukaryotic small subunit ribosomal RNA
Source: RNAcentral